This 253-nucleotide ribosomal RNA is filed under the name uncultured bacterium. RNAcentral describes it as "partial 16S ribosomal RNA". It matches the Rfam family "Bacterial small subunit ribosomal RNA", at positions 524 to 776 of the family's 1533-position model. The record is from RNAcentral.
UACGAAGGGGGCUAGCGUUGCUCGGAAUCACUGGGCGUAAAGCGCACGUAGGCGGACUCUUAAGUCGGUGGUGAAAUCCUGGAGCUCAACUCCAGAACUGCCUUCGAUACUGGGAGUCUUGAGUCCGGAAGAGGUGAGUGGAACUGCGAGUGUAGAGGUGAAAUUCGUAGAUAUUCGCAAGAACACCAGUGGCGAAGGCGGCUCACUGGCCCGGUACUGACGCUGAGGUGCGAAAGCGUGGGGAGCAAACAGG